AACGCACCUUGCGCUCCUUGGUAUUCCGAGGAGCAUGCCUGUUUGAGUGUCAUUAAAUUCUCAACCUUUGUUAACUUUUUGGUUAGCAAAUGGCUUGGAUGUGGGGGUAUGCAGGUUUCUCUAUUGAAAUUAGCUCCCCUGAAAUACAUUAGCUGGUUGCCUUGUGUAAACUUGACUAUUGGUGUGAUAAUUAUCUACGCUGUGAUUGUGAAAGCAUUAUGGGAUCUGCUUCUAACUGUCUACUUGUUUAGACAAUUUAUUUAACAUCUGACCUCAAAUCAGGUAGGACUACCCGCUGAACUUAA
This 305-nucleotide ribosomal RNA is filed under the name uncultured fungus. RNAcentral describes it as "eukaryotic LSU rRNA". The stretch from base 1 to 52 matches the Rfam family "5.8S ribosomal RNA", at positions 103 to 154 of the family's 154-position model. Lineage: Eukaryota; Fungi. The record is from RNAcentral.